AGGUAAAAAUUAUAUUGGUAUCCCUAAGCCGUGAGACCUACUUGUAGUGGGCAUCACCAAAUGUCUAUCAUUUUCCUUUUUUUCAAUCCUUUACAUCAACGAUCUGUUUGGUUGAGGAGAAAAUGUAGGAGAAUGAUUUUAUAAUGCAUUGUGUGUACGCAGGCGUGGAAGUGAAACAACACAAUGCAGGCCCUCAUUAGUUUUUACUCUGGAGUUGAGAAUUAAGUUGUCAGAUUUGGUCCGGUUUUAUCACACUUUGCCGAGAUGGUUGGAUGUAUGGUUCAGCAGUUAUGUUUUCAUUAGGGGGAACGGCUCAUCAAGAAACAUGAGUAUCUUCAAGUUUGCGACAGAGUUAAAUCUAGCCGAAUGAUCUUUCACUUUACUGGAAAGAUCUUCAAUGACUACAAGCAGGAGUAGGAAUCAGGCGUUUUUAUUUGGCACAUUGGUGGUUUAACAGGUAAUUGCUGCACUGUAUUUUAUGUGGUUCGUUUGCCCGUUGCUGCUAAUACAACCAUGGAGCAACAUGAAGCUUAAAAAAGGCCUUGGCUGCUGUUUACUAUGGAUGCUCACUCAUGCAUUGGCUGAUGUGGAGUUACCUCCUCAAGUUUAGGGAAAAGAAUGUCUUCCUGCAGCUUUGGAUGGGAAAUCUCUUGUUCUUGGAUGCUUAUGCUUUUGUGCCGAGUAUGGUGCACUUCUUUUAUACAACAAAUUACAGCUUGCCUCUUCCCGGAAUGCCUUAAGGCACGAGAGAGAGUAAACCCCUAUCACCAUUGCAGAAGUAGAUCUCCUUUAUUAUGUUUGAUUUGAAUUUGGCUCUUUGGAGCAAUAGGAUUUGCACACAAUUUUAUCAUCGUCCAAACGUGUUUGGACUAUGCUUUUGCGACAUAGUUUUGGAUCUAUUUGAAAAGUCUUAUUUUGUGUCAGAUAUGAAAUGCCUGUUUAAAAUUUUUCUGAA
This is a long non-coding RNA of Malania oleifera, 955 nucleotides long. RefSeq lists it as uncharacterized. The transcript is spliced from 4 exons. Lineage: Eukaryota; Viridiplantae; Streptophyta; Magnoliopsida; Santalales; Ximeniaceae. The record is from RefSeq and is a predicted model, not a curated record.